Molecule: unclassified non-coding RNA, 213 nt
Filed under: fungal sp.
Lineage: Eukaryota; Fungi
Description: partial internal transcribed spacer region
Rfam family: Eukaryotic small subunit ribosomal RNA (bases 1-46)
Source: RNAcentral
AAGUCGUAACAAGGUUUCCGUAGGUGAACCUGCGGAAGGAUCAUCAUUGCAUAAUCCGCCUUUCUACACCCUGUGGACUGUUAAAGGUUGGGGUCAUGGGAGACAGUUAAGACUGGUUCCGAUGCCCCGACGUCUUUCAUUUUUACACGCGCUGACUACUCUGAAUACAAAAACAAACAUACACAACUUUUAACAACGGAUCUCUUGGUUCUC